This 253-nucleotide ribosomal RNA is filed under the name uncultured bacterium. RNAcentral's name for it is "partial 16S ribosomal RNA". It matches the Rfam family "Bacterial small subunit ribosomal RNA", at positions 524 to 776 of the family's 1533-position model. The record is from RNAcentral.
UACAGAGGUCUCAAGCGUUGUUCGGAUUCAUUGGGCGUAAAGGGUGCGUAGGCGGCGCGGUAAGUCGGGUGUGAAAUCUCGGAGCUUAACUCCGAAACUGCAUUCGAUACUGCCGUGCUUGAGGACUGGAGAGGAGACUGGAAUUUACGGUGUAGCGGUGAAAUGCGUAGAUAUCGUAAGGAAGACCAGUGGCGAAGGCGGGUCUCUGGACCAGCACUGACACUGAGGCACGAAAGCGUGGGGAGCAAACAGG